ACAAUGCUAUUCUUGGAGUAGAAUCAAGCGCGGAACCACCUAGUUUCAAAGUAGUACCACACUUGAGGUUACUUAACUGUUAUAUGAAGGCUGCCUUGCAAAAUGGUCAUGGAACUUUACCAGCUGAGAAAAAAAAGUUUACUCUCUCAUCCUCUAUUAUGAGAGGGACACUGAAAAGAACAGAGAUCUUAUUUGCCUGUCAAUUACAGUUGCUUGCCACAGGAGAACAGAAAUUUGCAAGAGCGAUUGACUUACUUUACUGUAGAUACUAUUACAUUAUAGAGAGUCAAAUGAAGUUCUCUACUUCAUCAAAAAAAGGGACUGGUUAUUUGCAACUGGUUUUCUUAAAACUAUAUUAAUAUUCCCCAGAAUAUGGGGGUUUGAUCCUGCACCCAAUGAAAUAACUGGAGUCAAUAGGGAAAAAAAAGUCACAAUGUAUGCAGAUUAGGCUCUUAACAGUUUACUUAAAAGGUUUCAGAAGAGACAAUUUCAGAGUCAAUAUUUUUAGGAACUUUUUACAUUCCAAUGCAAAGGAUACUCAUACAGACAAAUAGCUUUUUCUACAUGUUUUCAAUUGACAUCUUGCAACGAGGUUCUUCAAGAACUCUGGUAAAACAAAUCUAAACAGUAUUUUUCUAUCUAAUCCAAAAAUGCACUUUGGACUGAAGACAACAGCAAAAUGCAGACAGACAAAAAACUUUCAUGAACUUGAGACAAAUAACUAGAAAAACAAUGUCAUUACUUAAAGGGCGCAACAAACCCAAGAAGCCUGCCAUACUGAAUUUCAGGUACUGUUUCACAUUUGAUCCUGAGAAGGAGCAAAUCCCAAAAGCAGCUAACCCUUAAAGAGCCUGUAGAGUUUACAAUUGACACAUUAAACAUCAGUAAGGUUAAAAAAAACAAAAACAAAACCAAACCUAUCUUCAAUUGAAAAACAAAACAAAACCCCAUCUGUAGGUGUUAAAGCCCACAAGAAAUAGCUCUUUCACUUCAGAUUAAUUUAAAACAGAGGCUGGGAUUCAGCGAAUGUUCAUAUAUUCACAGCACAGGAGGGAGGAGAUAAUCACACGAUGGACAAAGAGUUAUAGAAGACAUAAUACAAAAGACUAUUUCUAUAUGGCCUUCAAAUAAACAACAUGCAUUCCUUGAUAAAAAGUGAAAUAAAAAAUACAACUGUGUGUGCAAUACAAGAGGAAAGAAUAUUGUAGUACACUUUAAAAACAGUAAGAACAGGCUUAAAAACCUCCCCCCCAACUUUAGAACAAUGGUGACCAAUACCAGGGUCCAAAUAUAAUUUUCCAAUAUUGUUGAGAGCUAUAACCAAAGAAAAAAAAAACAAUAAUUGCUCUAUGGACCAUAUUGCUCACUGGCUUUCCAGCUUCAUCCAACCCAUAAAAGCCUCUAGACCCAGAUGACUUAAGCUUAGCAGGAUUCAUUUUAAAUCAGCAGUCAUUAGUGUAAACUGAUGCCACCUGACACACAGAAAUGGAUAAACAACAUAUCCAUCCAUUGCAGUUAGCAAAUAAAGUCUCCCCCACACCUUAUGUGCACAGGGUCCAGUAUCCCAGCCUUGCAGGAAGCUCUCUGUUACAGUCCCACUCACUCAUUCAUGGGAGUGUGGGGGCCCUUCCUGGGGAGAAGCUGUUCAGCAGCAGGUUGGCCUCCUUGCAGCCAGGAGCCAGCUCUCCUUCUCGUGGUCUUGGGGAUCUCUGCGCAAUCCCCACCAAGACCACAGCCUUCCCUGCAACUUCUGCCUGUAGUGUCAUUGGCCCUGCAGCUGUGCAGGGAGCCUCCUGCAAUCUUUCUGUUAAGCUGUGAAAAUGUACUAAAAAACUUGAGGUCCAAUUACAUCAGGGUUAAACAACUAAGCAGUACAGUUUAGUUGAACUUCUGUAUGAUCUGGGGUGCACCAAAUGCAAGGGCAUAUUAGAUCCAGGUUUGACAUGGUCUGAACUCUGUUGCACCAAGUAAUGCAAUUAGAAACCAUUGUGCCUCUGCGCACAUAAAAUGAGGCCUCAAACUCAUCUUGCAGAUGGGGGAUACAGCUGAUAAGGGUAUGGGGAGGCACAAAACCCAUAACAACUGCAGGCCACCUCCAGUUGCUCUAUUGCUUUAAAGAUAGAAAAUGUAAAUUAGAUGAUCUCAGUAACUAUGAGAAUAAAUUUUGUUUCAAACCAUGCAAAUACUAACAGUAAUAGCUCUUCUAAAAGGAUGCAACUGGCCAUAAAGGACGCAUGUGCAUUCAACAGCUGGGGAACUAUAUGGGCAAUUCUUGAAGGAGAUGCACUGCUGCAAUACCAUAGUAAACAAGGAAGAAAAAUUCCUCAUUUUUUCAAAAAGAUUGUAUCUGUAUUAGACAGCAUGGUAAUUUAAUUCAAUAAUUCACACACUUAUUUUAAAUUAGGCUAUCAUAAAAAUCAUACAGAAUUCUGCAUGAAGAAAAACAUAGUAAUUAUAUUUACAGAGUCAUACAUUCAUAUCUAACACAUUCACAUUUGCCAGAAAACCUUAUGGUGUCCAUACCUGAUGUACUUUUAAAUCUUCAUCUUCAAAAUCAGAGAUCCAUUGCUUUCGUGAUUCUUAAUUAGAAAGUUUGAAAAAAGAAAUCUAUGUUAGAAUGCGACAUAUUGCAAACAAGUGUUAGAUUUGCAUCCAAAAACUGAUUUAACUAAUUCCUCAUUUAGACAUAAAUAUUUAUGAUUAAAGUAUUUUCUAAAUAAGUAAACUCCGGAAAGGUUUAACAAAUUCAGAACACAGACAAAGAAAUGAAAGAAAGGAAGAAAGAGAGACAGUCAGAUUUUCACCCAACAUAAAUUGGCAUAGUAUCACAGAAGUCAAUGAAACUAUGUUCAUUAGAUCAGCUACAGAUCUCACCCAAUGCUUUUAGACAGAUACUCAAAAGACUCCCUAGAAGACAACCACAAACUAUUUGUAAAACACCACUAAUCUCUAGGGACCCAAUCUUACAAUACUUAAGCAACUGUAACUUUCUUUAUGUGGGUACUUCUAUUAACCUCAUUGGGACUACACAGUAAGUCAAGUUAUACACACACACACACACACACACACACACACACUUAAGUGUUUGCAGGAUCAGAGCCUAUUUCUCUACAGUACAGGUAAUAUUCACCUUUAAAAUAUACAAGUUGCCCAAAACCAAUUAUUAACAUUCUUAAAUGUUAGGGGGAGAGAUUUUCAAGGGAACAAGUAUAGUUGGGUGCCAAACUUCCUUUUGUACCUCUAGAAGUCAUCCCUCUAAUUCUGGACUUUUGCAUAUUCCCUUCUAACUAUGAAGCUUUUCCAUAAGCAUUGGUUCCUGGACAUUUUUACUCAACUUUUUAAAGUUGCACACAUGAAAAAAAUCACGCUGUAGAUACUGGAAAUUACAUUCAAAGCACAAGACUUUCUCUUUUAAACAAAAAGAUUUACAAGGUUUACACUACAGUCAUUAAUGUACUCUUUUAGGUAGAUAAAUAUUUAUACUACUUAUAACUAAUAAUUACUGAUUACGAGUUGCAAAUACUAUUAAAACCAUUUAUAAUGUUCUAAUGAGAUGCAGCACGCCUUCUUCUGUGUUCUUUGCGUGGAUUAUUUACAUAGUGCCUAAAAAUGUGCUAGAAAACAAGGAAGGAGAUGAUUUAGAGCUAAUUUUUUUUACUAAUAUAUAAGGAAAAAUAGAGUAUCAUAAAUAUACAUUUGUCUAGUUUCAAGUACCCUUUUUAUUUUGCCUGCUCCAGAUACUUGCCUCAAACACAGCACUGCAUUAAAUGAACACUAUUUACACAAAAUAAUUCUGCUGGUGUUCCCAGAUCCGAGCCUUCCUGCACUACUUCACCAAUACCAUCUUGCAACUGUCAGAUGUGCCAUGACUGAACCAGGGAGCGACACCUCCACGUGCCCACAUCAGUUUGAGCUGCUAUACGAGGGGUGGGCAAACUUUUUGGCCCGAGAGCCACAUCGGGGUGUGAAACCGUAUGGAGGACCAGAUACAAGUAUUCGCACUGAAGUCAAUGGGACAAAUUUCAUGCCUAGCAGUUUGCAGGAUGAAGCCUUCGAGAAAUGCAUAUGGAAUUAUAAGGGGAGGAGGACCAAACAAGACUAUGAUGGGAUUACUCGCAUGCAUAAAGUUAAGCACGUGAGUUUAUGCUGUUUGCAGGAUCAGGGCCUUAGCUUGUAAGCUCUUAGGAUCACAGGGAUCCAUCUUGCUCACUUUGUGAACACGACGUACAUCUACAAUGCAUUGAAAAUAUCUUUUAGCAAUAUAUUUUAUUUUUAAAAUGCGGAUUCAGGGUUACAUUACUCCCAGGUUAACUGUGCUACUGAGAAGCAACAAGGGUAGUCAUAUCAACCAAAUUUCUGCUUUUGUCCCUAGAGAGCAAAAUCUAUUAAACAUCACAGAGGGAUUUUUUGUUUGUUUGAAACUGGAACAAACAUUCCCUUUAUUUAAGUAAGGAAAAAUUUGGACUGUAUGUUAAACACCACAGAAAUAUCAUUCUGCCAGGAGUUUAACACAUUUCUUCCUUGGUCCUCCUACCCCCACUGUACACUUUGUAUUCUGUGUUGAAAUUGAAAUUAAUAUAUUUGAAAAUGUAAAAACAUCCAAAAAUAUUUAAGUAAAUUGCAUUCUAUUAUUGUUUAACAGUGCGAUUAAUUACGAUUAUUUUUUUCCAACUACUGAUGCUUGUCUUUGCAACCUGAAUGUUCUUUGAACAUAGGGGUGGUUUUGGUUUGGUUUUUCUUUGUUAAUAUAUUGUUAGACUGGGUUAAAGGUGGACUCUUGGAUAGGGAAUGAAUAUAGAUAGCACAACAAAAGGAUGUUAGGGCCAACUAUCCUUUAGGGGGUUCAGCUGAUGUAAUUACAUUCAAAUGAUGGGGGAAGAGAGUUAAAAAAGUGUAUUGUUUAUAUGGGUCAGGUGUGAGCACAAGAGCAGUACUCAUAAAUCAAAUGGCGUAAUAGAAAUUCUCCCCGAAAAAAGGUUUCUAGUAUAUGUUAACUGUAGGCUUUCUCCAAAGGCCACUGAAGUCAUAUGAUCACACCUCUUAACUUUCUAAUUUUAUAAUAGUAUGUGUAUAUGCUGACAGGGGUGGGGGGAGAAUGGUAAUUAAAACAUAUUCUUAGGUAGUGGAAUGAAAUUGAGACAGUGGAACAGCUUGCAAUGGAGACUUCAAAAGACAGCGUUUGAUGUCUCUGCACUGGGAAGUCUUUGCAUUAAGCUCCGGAUUUGACCCUAGCCCUGCUAUGUGCUAAUGGCAUUGAAAUUAAUGCCAAAGAAAUGUAUUUGUUCGGUUGGGGGGGGGGGGGGGGGUGUUGUUUUUUAGUUCUAAAGGCUUGAUUUGAAUCUCAUCAUCUUUAUUGUAUGCAAGGCCAUGUAGAAGAAAAAACACUUCACACCUUCUGUUCCCCCCCCGCCCCUUUUUUGAACUUAGUUAUGCUAGUCUUAAGUCCUCCUAAGCAAGAAAUACUUUACACUUGUUACCAAAAAUGGAUGGACAGCAUGGAUGUUUCUCUGCUUUUGUUCUGAGGCAAAAAAAUAAAUUUUCCAGUUUUUCUUUUUGUUUAUGUAUUUGUAUUAGGCCUGUCAAGUGAUUAAAAAAAUUAAUUGUGAUUAAUUGUACGAUUAAAAAAAAAAGCAAUUGUAUGACUAAUUGCACUGUUAAAUAAUAACAGAAUACCACUUAUUUAAAGAUUUUUGGAUGUUUUCUACAUUUUCAAAUAUAUUAAUUUCAAUUUCAACAUAGAAUACAACACAUUUCCCCUCCCCCUCACCAAGUUUGACCCCUUCUGCCUUAUCCCCUCCAAACUGGCUAUUCCAGCCCUGUCUCUUCCCCACCUGUGGCUCCUUGUUCCAGGCCCUUUCUCCUUGCCUAUCCAGUCCAAGUCUCCACCCCUCAGGGUUCACAUCCUAGUCCCACUCUUCUUGCCCAAUCACCGUCUUAGUCACCCUCGUCAGGCUCCUCAUACAAUGUAAAUCUCUCUUCCCACCACACCCCAUGCUCUUCCCCCACUGUUUCUUAGUGACUGUCUCCUAGACCAACCUGUCCCAGUGUCCCCACUCCCCUUCAGCUUCUCAUCUAAUCUCAGUGACCCCAUCCGCACCACCAACCAGUUCCCAGAAGCCCAUCCCCCACCACCUCCCAGUCUUAAUCUCCAUGCCAAAUCAGUCCCAGUCUCCAUUACCCCCGCUAUCCUCAAUCCCAGCUUCUCCCCCUCACUCCCUCCAGUCCCAGUUUUACCAAACAAUUUGUCCCAAUUUACUCCUUACCUUCCCCCCUGUACAGCUUUUGUUCUCUCUGCAUUCAAAUCAGACUGCUUCCUCCUCCAUGCUGUCUGGGUGCUAACUGGGGGGACGGGUCCCUAUGAGCACAGGAGAGACAAGCUUCCUGCUCUGAUUUUCAGUGUCCAGCAGCACCUAGGCCCAGAGCAGCCAUUAGAGGGAGUACCCUGCUUAGCCUGCAUAGCCCUGGGCUGGAACAUGCUCAGUCACUCUGUAAGGAUGACUAGGGCCCAACCAAAGUCAU
Molecule: long non-coding RNA, 6519 nt
Organism: Chelonia mydas (Green sea turtle)
Lineage: Eukaryota; Metazoa; Chordata; Testudines; Cheloniidae
Exons: 2
Source: RefSeq, a predicted model, not a curated record